This 453-nucleotide ribosomal RNA is filed under the name uncultured bacterium. Its description in RNAcentral is "bacterial SSU rRNA". It matches the Rfam family "Bacterial small subunit ribosomal RNA", at positions 9 to 507 of the family's 1533-position model. The record is from RNAcentral.
CGAGUUUGAUCAUGGCUCAGAACGAACGCUGGCGGCAGGCCUAACACAUGCAAGUCGAGCGAACCCUUCGGGGUUAGCGGCGGACGGGUUAGUAACGCGUGGGAAUAUACCCUUUGGUACGGAAUAGCCUCGGGAAACUGAGAGUAAUACCGUAUGUGCCCUUCGGGGGAAAGAUUUAUCGCCAAAGGAUUAGCCCGCGUUGGAUUAGAUAGUUGGUGGGGUAAUGGCCUACCAAGUCUACGAUCCAUAGCUGGUUUGAGAGGAUGAUCAGCAACACUGGGACUGAGACACGGCCCAGACUCCUACGGGAGGCAGCAGUGGGGAAUCUUAGACAAUGGGCGCAAGCCUGAUCUAGCCAUGCCGCGUGGACGAUGAAGGCCUUAGGGUUGUAAAGUCCUUUCAGAUGGGAAGAUAAUGACGGUACCAUCAGAAGAAGCCCCGGCUAACUCCGUG